This 429-nucleotide ribosomal RNA is filed under the name Austrovelia caledonica. Its description in RNAcentral is "partial 16S ribosomal RNA". Lineage: Eukaryota; Metazoa; Arthropoda; Insecta; Hemiptera; Mesoveliidae. The record is from RNAcentral.
CUCUUUUGGAUUUUAAUUUAAAGUUUGGCCUGCUCUAUGAUAUUUAUUAAAUGGCUGCAAUAAUUUAAUUGUACUAAGGUAGCAUAAUCAUUUGUUUUUUAAUUGGAAACUAGUAUGAAUGGUUUGAUGAAAAGAUUUUUUUAUUAAUUUGAUUUUUUGAAUUUUAUUUUGAGUUAAAAAUCUUAAAUAUUUUUAUGGGACGAGAAGACCCUUUAGAAUUUUAUUUUAAUUUAUUUAUUUAUUUUUGUUUUAUUAUUAUUUAUUUAUUAUUUAAAUUUGGUUGGGGUGAUUGUUGAAUUUUUAUAACUUUUUCUUUUUUUUUCAUUAAUUUUUGUUUUUUUGAUCCAUUAUUUGAUUAUAAGAUUAAAUUACCUAAGGGAUAACAGCGUUAUUUAUUUGGAGAGUUCUUAUUGAUAAUUAAGUUUGCGA